This is a non-coding RNA of Larimichthys crocea (large yellow croaker), 54 nucleotides long. Lineage: Eukaryota; Metazoa; Chordata; Actinopteri; Sciaenidae. The record is from Rfam.
UGUUCCCUUCUCUGUAAGUCGCUUUGGAUAAAAGCGUCUGCUAAAUGACUAACU